This 648-nucleotide ribosomal RNA is filed under the name uncultured Basidiomycota. RNAcentral's name for it is "LSU rRNA". It matches the Rfam family "Eukaryotic large subunit ribosomal RNA", at positions 1 to 635 of the family's 3401-position model. Lineage: Eukaryota; Fungi; Basidiomycota. The record is from RNAcentral.
CCUCAAAUCAGGCAAGACUACCCGCUGAACUUAAGCAUAUCAAUAAGCGGAGGAAAAGAAGCUAACAAGGAUUCCCCUAGUAACUGCGAGUGAAGCGGGAAAAGCUCAAAUUUAAAAUCUGGCAGUCUUUGGCUGUCCGAGUUGUAAACUAGAGAAGUGUUACCCGCGUCGGACCGUGUACAAGUCUCCUGGAAUGGAGCAUCAUAGAGGGUGAGAAUCCCGUCUUUGACAUGGACUACCGAGGCUUUUGUGGUGCGCUCUCAACGAGUCGAGUUGUUUGGGAAUGCAGCUCAAAAUGGGUGGUAAAUUCCAUCUAAAGCUAAAUAUUGGCGAGAGACCGAUAGCGAACAAGUACCGUGAGGGAAAGAUGAAAAGAACUUUGGAAAGAGAGUUAAACAGUACGUGAAAUUGCUGAAAGGGAAACGCUUGAAGUCAGUCGCGUUGGCCGGAAAUCAACCCUGCUUCUGUUGGGUGUACUUUCUGGUUGACGGGCCAGCAUCAGUUUUGACCGGUGGAAAAAGUCCAAGGGAAUGUGGCAUCUCCGGAUGUGUUAUAGCCCUUGGUCGUAUACAUCGGUUGGGACUGAGGAAUUCAGCACGCCGCAAGGCCGGGUUUCGACCACGUUCGUGCUUAGGAUGCUGGCAUAAU